RNAcentral lists this ribosomal RNA (422 nucleotides) under uncultured eukaryote. RNAcentral's name for it is "bacterial SSU rRNA". It matches the Rfam family "Eukaryotic small subunit ribosomal RNA", at positions 592 to 1018 of the family's 1831-position model. The record is from RNAcentral.
UAAUAGCGUAUAUUAAAGUUGUUGCAGUUAAAAAGCUCGUAGUUGGAUUUUUGAGUAGGGAGAUUGGCCCGACGCAAGUUGGUGUUGAUCACUCGGCUCACCUUUCUAGAAGGGUUGUGGUUGCACUUAAUUGUGCACCGCCUCCAGUCUAGGACCUUUACUUUGAGCAAAAUAGAGUGUUCAAAGCAGGCUAACGCCUUGAAUACAUUAGCAUGGAAUAAUCACAUAGGACUUUGGUUCUACUUUAUUGGCUUUAAGGACUGAAGUAAUGAUUAAUAGGGAUAGUUGGGGGCAUUCAUAUUUCAUUGUCAGAGGUGAAAUUCUAAGAUUUAUGAAAGAUGAACUUCUGCGAAAGCAUUUGCCAAGGAUGUUUUCAUUAAUCAAGAACGAAAGUUAGGGGAUCGAAGACGAUCAGAUACCGU